CGCAUCUGUGCAUGCAGCAUAUCAAUAAGCGGAGGAAAAGAAACUAACAAGGAUUCCCUUAGUAACGGCGAGUGAAGCGGGAAGAGCUCAAAUUUGAAAUCUUCAAGGUUUUACCUUGACGAAUUGUAGUUUAAAGAAGUGUUUUCUGUUGAAGUUUUGGUAAAAGUUCUUUGGAAUAGGACAUCAUAGAGGGUGAGAAUCCCGUAUUUGACCAUUAUUUUCAGCUGUGUGAUACACUUUCAAAGAGUCGGAUUGUUUGGGAAUGCAGUCCAAAAUGGGUGGUAAAUUUCAUCUAAAGCUAAAUAUUGGCGAGAGACCGAUAGCGAACAAGUACCGUGAGGGAAAGAUGAAAAGAACUUUGAAAAGAGAGUUAAACAGUACGUGAAAUUGUCAAAAGGGAAGCGUUUGACACCAGUGUUGUUUUCUCGAAAAUCAAUUAAAAAGAGUUUGAUUUUGUUGUGUAUUGACCUUAACAGCUUGCAUUUCAAUUUUCUUGCUUUUUUUAAUGCACUUUUCGUUUAACAAGUCAACAUCAGUUUCUUUUGUUGUAAAAAGGUCAUUGGAAGGUGGCUUUCUUUUCGGAGAAAGUGUUUAUAGCCUUUGACUCCUGCAAUCGGAGAGACUGAGGUCUGCAGCGUAGAUCCUUCGGGGUUAGAUACAUUUGUGCUAAGUUAUAGCUUUUUAUAGACAACUUGUUGACUAUGAUUAGUCUUGUAGCUUACUCGCUUAUGCUAUUUUACCUACGCUUAGGAUGUUGAACUCUAUCACACACAG
This 774-nucleotide ribosomal RNA is filed under the name uncultured Neocallimastigales. Its description in RNAcentral is "partial large subunit ribosomal RNA". It matches the Rfam family "Eukaryotic large subunit ribosomal RNA", at positions 26 to 621 of the family's 3401-position model. Lineage: Eukaryota; Fungi; Neocallimastigomycota; Neocallimastigomycetes; Neocallimastigales. The record is from RNAcentral.